This 351-nucleotide unclassified non-coding RNA is filed under the name soil metagenome. RNAcentral describes it as "partial contains 5.8S ribosomal RNA, internal transcribed spacer 2, and large subunit ribosomal RNA". The stretch from base 1 to 120 matches the Rfam family "5.8S ribosomal RNA", at positions 35 to 154 of the family's 154-position model. The record is from RNAcentral.
GAUGAAGAACGCAGCGAAAUGCGAAAAGUAAUGUGAAUUGCAGAAUUCAGUGAAUCAUCGAAUCUUUGAACGCACAUUGCGCCCGCUGGUACUCCGGCGGGCACGCCUGUCCGAGCGUCAUUUCAACCCUCAAGCCCUCCUUCGGGAUGGGCCUGGUGUUGGGGCUCGGCCGCCAUCUCCGGCGGCCGUCCCCUAAAUACAGUGGCGGUCACGUCGCGACUCCUUUGCGUAGUAGAAACACCUCGCUCCGGAUAGCAACGCGGUCCACGCCGUAAAACCCCCAAUUUUCAAUGGUUGACCUCGGAUCAGGUGGGAAUACCCGCUGAACUUAAGCAUAUCAAUAAGCGGGGA